This 320-nucleotide ribosomal RNA is filed under the name uncultured eukaryote. RNAcentral describes it as "partial 18S ribosomal RNA". It matches the Rfam family "Eukaryotic small subunit ribosomal RNA", at positions 1470 to 1796 of the family's 1831-position model. The record is from RNAcentral.
CCCCUAGAUGUUCUGGGCCGCACGCGCGCUACACUGAGCAGUUCAACAAGUCUUAACCUUGGCCGAUAGGUCUGGGUAAUCUUUGAACGCUGUUCGUGAUUGGGAUAGACCUUUGCAAUUAUGGGUCUUCAACGAGGAAUUCCUAGUAAACGCAAGUCAUCAGCUUGCAUUGAUUACGUCCCUGCCCUUUGUACACACCGCCCGUCGCACCUACCGAUUGAAUGGUCCGGUGAAAUCUCGGGACGGCGGCUUGGUCGCUUGCGUCCGACUGCUGAAACUUGAUUAAACCAUAUCAUUUAGAGGAAGGUGAAGUCGUAACA